CAUUUUUAAAGCCCCUCAGGUGAUUCAGUGCAGCCCGGGCAAGAACCCAGCUAUGCUCUGAGAAGUGAGUGGGCAGCAUCUAAUUGCUCUUCAUAAAAAUCCUGCUGUUUUCAGCCCCAGCCCACCCUGGUCUUCCCACAGACAAUGGCCACUCCCAUGCCUGAGCCAUCCCAGGUACACUUGUAGGUACUGGUGAUAGAAAAAUGAAGACCUCAUUCUUCCCUUGGAAAACAAAAAACAAAGAAGAGACCAAGUCUCUUAGGAAAAAGAGAACCCUGCCAGUAGCACGAUACAGGAGAUCCCCAGUUGGAGGAACCAUCCUUUACAGCUGACUGACUCACCAGUCCCUAAUGCUGGUCAGAUGUCCUGAACAAGGAAAGCCGUGAUUUCUGCGACCAGAGAGAAUCGGUCAGUCACGGUGUCCCUCAGCCAAAAUGAACUCAGCCUAUUGUCUCCGGAGAGCUGGUAAAUCGGCAGCUGAAGAAACAUACAGUUCUGUGUUUCAAAAUGCAAAAGACCACAUUUCCCUGACCUCGGGUGCUCGCUGACACAUUCCCAACCAAUGACUAUAAAUCUGCUCCUGGAUUGUGGUAAGUUGAGAAAUUAAACACAAAUAUCCCAUCUGAUAACCUUCCUCUGGCCUUUCACAGUGUUGUUUAUAGAACUGAAUUUUAGAAAAUGAAUUCCUUUAUCCUCAAGGUUUUAGGGCUUUUUUCUUCUAAGCCCAGAAACUGUAAACGUUUUCAUGAUACAAGAAAGCUGGCGCUUCUCCUUCUACUUAAAUUACAGACACUCGUCUGAGUUGCCUGCUGCUGUGGAUUUUUGUUGGGUUUCAGUUGCUUUCUAGCCAUUCUUCCAUCCUUAGAGCAUCUGAAUUUCCUUUUAUGAAUUUCCCUCAUCCCCUUUGAGGGAAUCCGAUGAAAUCUCAAAUCCAAGCACCUGCCUCCCAGCAAGAAUGCGGAGCUGCUAGCUUUCUGGAACUACAUGAUUUCCACCCCUUUU
This 1002-nucleotide long non-coding RNA is filed under the name Homo sapiens (human). RNAcentral describes it as "HSALNT0290132". Lineage: Eukaryota; Metazoa; Chordata; Mammalia; Primates; Hominidae. The record is from RNAcentral.